AAUUUUGCGCAAUGGGCGAAAGCCUGACGCAGCAACGCCGCGUGAAUGAUGAAGCCCUUCGGGGUGUAAAGUUCUGUCAGUGGGGACGAAACUUGACGGUACCCACAGAGGAAGCACCGGCUAACUCCGUGCCAGCAGCCGCGGUAAUACGGAGGGUGCAAGCGUUGUCCGGAAUCAUUGGGCGUAAAGCGUUCGUAGGCGGCAUACCAAGUCUGGUGUUAAAUCCCGGGGCUCAACUCCGGUUCGGCACUGGAUACUGGUAAGCUAGAAUGUGGUAGAGGUGAAGGGAAUUCCUGGUGUAGCGGUGAAAUGCGUAGAUAUCAGGAGGAACACCGGUGGCGUAAGCGCUUCACUGGGCCAUAAUUGACGCUGAGGAACGAAAGCCGGGGGAGCAAAUGGG
Molecule: ribosomal RNA, 400 nt
Filed under: uncultured bacterium
Lineage: Bacteria
Description: bacterial SSU rRNA
Rfam family: Bacterial small subunit ribosomal RNA
Source: RNAcentral